UUAUAGGCAUGAGCCACCAGGCUUGGUCACAAUUUUUUUUUUUUUAAUUAAGCAGAAGUGUCUCCUGGCAUCUGGACUCUUGAAUUCUAACCUCGCUUGGUGACAGCAGCUGGAAGAAGGCUAAUCUGUCUUCUCCAUCACAUCCCCUCACCGAUUUGAACACAGAAUGUGUUAUCUUGUGUCUUUCUUUUCCGAACUCUUUCCCUUCAACUCUUCUUCCAAUGGCCCAGUUUUGUGGUUUCCUCACUCCUCCUGCUGAUCUCCAUGAGAUGGCUCCAGCUAUCAGUGACCCUUAAAUAUGGACACCUAGGACUGAAUCCUGUUUCUAGGAAGAUCUGAAUAACAGCAUUCAGAAUUAUGCGAUACCUCCCUUUUCUGGAAACUCCACAUGUCUACCGAAGUAGCCACCAGGCUACUGACCCUCUCCAAGAAGAUGGUGAGGAUAUUUAGAACUGCUUGUUCUUAGUGAAUCCAUUUUGAUUCCAAAUGAUCCCUGUAUCUCUGCCUCAUUAUUACAAAGCUCCACUUAAAUUAUUUAAUGUAGAAUUUUUUGCCUAUGUUUGGUAUAAACCUCCCUGACAUACGGUUUUGAAAUUCUCCUGUUUGUCCUUAUUUUCAGUUUCCCAUCAGAACAUUUGUCACGAUUUUUCUUUCUUCUCUGACUUAGAGUACUGAAUAUAAUUCAAGUGAACAAAGUCUCUCAAAACAAUUCCACUGAAUUCAAGUGUAAUAGUAGACAUCAUCCUACUAAACAACGAAAAGCAUGAAGGCUUCAUGAUGCUGUCGAUUUCAUUACUGUUGAAGGCAGAACUACAGCAUGCUGAAUGCCUCGUCUAAGAUCAAAGACAUUUUAGUACCGUUUUUAUAAAUCUUUCUGUUAUAUAGACUUGAGAUAUUAUUUGGGCAAAUUGGGGAUUCGAAACUGGUGUGAAGGAGCUAUUGUGUAACAUUUUAUUCACCUCUCUAAAAAUCCGUAAUAGUUUUCAA
Chlorocebus sabaeus (green monkey) is the source of this 987-nucleotide non-coding RNA. NCBI's taxonomy places the organism in Eukaryota, Metazoa, Chordata, Mammalia, Primates, Cercopithecidae. The record is from RefSeq and is a predicted model, not a curated record.